UUAAGCAUAUCAAUAAGCGGAGGAAAAGAAACCAACAGGGAUUGCCUCAGUAACGGCGAGUGAAGCGGCAACAGCUCAAAUUUGAAAUCUGGCCUCUUUGGGGUCCGAGUUGUAAUUUGUAGAGGAUGUUUCGGGUACCGCCUCGGUUUAAAUUUCUUGGAACAGAAUGUCAGAGAGGGUGAGAAUCCCGUCUUGGACCGGCGGUAGGGCCCAUGUGAAACUCCUUCGACGAGUCGAGUUGUUUGGGAAUGCAGCUCAAAAUGGGUGGUAAAUUUCAUCUAAAGCUAAAUAUUGGCCAGAGACCGAUAGCGCACAAGUAGAGUGAUCGAAAGAUGAAAAGCACUUUGAAAAGAGAGUUAAACAGUAUGUGAAAUUGUUGAAAGGGAAGCGCUUACAACCAGACUUGAGCGCGGCGGUUCCCCCUUCCUUUUGGUUGGGUUACUCCGCCGUGUCCAGGCCAGCAUCGGUUCUGGGGGUCGGUCAAAGGCUUUGGGAAUGUACCUCCCCUUCGGGAGUGUUAUAGCCCAGAGUGUCAUGCGGCCUCCCGGGACCGAGGAACGCGCUUCGGCUCGGAUGUUGGCGUAAUGGUUGUCAGCGACCCGUCUUGAAACACGGACCAAGGAGUCUAACAUCUAUGCGAGUGUUUGGGUGUCAAACCCGGACGCGAAAUGAAAGUGAACGGAGGUAGGAAGCCGUGAGGCUGCACCAUCGACCGAUCCUGAUGUCUUCGGAUGGAUUUGAGUAAGAGCAUAGCUGUUGGGACCCGAAAGAUGGUGAACUAUGCCUGAAUAGGGUGAAGCCAGAGGAAACUCUGGUGGAGGCUCGCAGCGGUUCUGACGUGCAAAUCGAUCGUCAAAUUUACGUAUAGGGGCGAAAGACUAAUCGAACC
Molecule: ribosomal RNA, 889 nt
Filed under: Dactylaria aquatica
Lineage: Eukaryota; Fungi; Ascomycota; Leotiomycetes; Helotiales
Description: eukaryotic LSU rRNA
Rfam family: Eukaryotic large subunit ribosomal RNA
Source: RNAcentral